AAGCGAGGAGGAGGCUACCGAGAUUAAUACUCUUGGAUAGUGGACGUUACUCGCAGAAUAAGCACCGGCUAACUCUGUGCCAGCAGCCGCGGUAAUACAGAGGGUGCAAGCGUUAAUCGGAUUUACUGGGCGUAAAGCGCGCGUAGGUGGCCAAUUAAGUCAAAUGUGAAAUCCCCGAGCUUAACUUGGGAAUUGCAUUCGAUACUGGUUGGCUAGAGUAUGGGAGAGGAUGGUAGAAUUCCAGGUGUAGCGGUGAAAUGCGUAGAGAUCUGGAGGAAUACCGAUGGCGAAGGCAGCCAUCUGGCCUAAUACUGACACUGAGGUGCGAAAGCAUGGGGAGCAAACAGGAUUAGAUACCCUGGUAGUCCAUGCCGUAAACGAUGUCUACUAGCCGUUGGGGCCUUUGAGGCUUUAGUGGCGCAGCUAACGCGAUAAGUAGACCGCCUGGGGAGUACGGUCGCAAGACUAAAACUCAAAUGAAUUGACGGGGGCCCGCACAAGCGGUGGAGCAUGUGGUUUAAUUCGAUGCAACGCGAAGAACCUUACCUGGUCUUGACAUAGUAAGAACUUUCCAGAGAUGGAUUGGUGCCUUCGGGAACUUACAUACAGGUGCUGCAUGGCUGUCGUCAGCUCGUGUCGUGAGAUGUUGGGUUAAGUCCCGCAACGAGCGCAACCCUUUUCCUUAUUUGCCAGCGAGUAA
Molecule: ribosomal RNA, 700 nt
Filed under: uncultured bacterium
Lineage: Bacteria
Description: bacterial SSU rRNA
Rfam family: Bacterial small subunit ribosomal RNA
Source: RNAcentral